Molecule: ribosomal RNA, 301 nt
Filed under: uncultured bacterium
Lineage: Bacteria
Description: partial 16S ribosomal RNA
Rfam family: Bacterial small subunit ribosomal RNA
Source: RNAcentral
CAGUAGCCGCGGGAAUACAGAGGGUGCAAGCGUUAAUCGGAUUUACUGGGCGUAAAGGGCGCGUAGGUGGUUAUGUAAGUGAGAUGUGAAAUCCCCGGGCUCAACCUGGGAACUGCAUCUUAUACUGCGUAGCUGGAGUGCAGUAGAGGGUAGUGGAAUUUCCGGUGUAGCGGUGAAAUGCGUAGAUAUCGGAAGGAACACCAGUGGCGAAGGCGGCUACCUGGACUGACACUGACACUGAGGCGCGAAAGCGUGGGGAGCAAACAGGAUUAGAUACCCGCGUAGUCCCUGUCUCUUAUAC